GAGAGCCAAAUGAAUCGAAAGGUUCAUGUUUGGUUCGGGAAGGGAUCAUGGAAUUUUUGAAAUAAAAAAAAAAAUGAAUGGAAAGAUAAUCUACUUUCAU
Molecule: non-coding RNA, 100 nt
Organism: Gossypium arboreum
Lineage: Eukaryota; Viridiplantae; Streptophyta; Magnoliopsida; Malvales; Malvaceae
Source: Rfam